AACGCACCUUGCGCUCUAUGGUAUUCCGUAGAGCAUGCCUGUUUGAGUGUCAUGAAAACAAUCAACCUGACAUUGGGUAACUCCUUUAGUUUGGCUUGGACCUGGGUGUUUGCCAUCAUUUCUGAUGGCUCAUCUUAAAUAUAUUAGCUGGACUCGUUUUUGCAAACUGGUUUGACUUGGCGUAAUAAGUAUUUCGCUAAGGACAUCUUUCGGGAUGGCCAAUCUGCUCAACAAUUGUCUGCUCUCCAACCUAUGUUCUCUAGUAGACAUGACUUUUAUUAUUUGGCCUCAAAUCAGGUAGGACUACCCGCUGAACUUAA
RNAcentral lists this ribosomal RNA (320 nucleotides) under uncultured fungus. RNAcentral's name for it is "eukaryotic LSU rRNA". The stretch from base 1 to 52 matches the Rfam family "5.8S ribosomal RNA", at positions 103 to 154 of the family's 154-position model. The record is from RNAcentral. Lineage: Eukaryota; Fungi.